Molecule: signal recognition particle RNA, 273 nt
Filed under: Candidatus Woesearchaeota archaeon
Lineage: Archaea; Nanobdellati; Candidatus Woesearchaeota
Description: signal recognition particle sRNA
Rfam family: Archaeal signal recognition particle RNA
Source: RNAcentral
GGGAAGGCUAGGCUGGGUAGAUAGUCCCUAUCUGUUACCGCAAGCGGACUUUAGGCGGGGCUGAAGCUGGAAGAGCGAUAUUAGUUUUGGCUGUUAGUCUUGGUCACUACUAUGAGGCUCUGUCCUUUGGGAUUGAUGUUUUAGUGAAUCAAGUCAGGCCAGGAAUGGAGCAGCUUUUAGCUUUAACAUUGAUGCUCAUUGGGUAGCGGAGCUGAGGAAUGACGAAGGUCGCUAAUAGUUAAGGCUGGUAUCCAUCUUUUGGUGUGCCUUCCU